Molecule: ribosomal RNA, 301 nt
Filed under: uncultured bacterium
Lineage: Bacteria
Description: partial 16S ribosomal RNA
Rfam family: Bacterial small subunit ribosomal RNA
Source: RNAcentral
CAGUCGCCGCGGUAAAACGAAGGGUGCAAGCGUUAAUCGGAAUUACUGGGCGUAAAGCGUGCGUAGGCGGUUUGUUAAGUCUGUUGUGAAAUCCCCGGGCUCAACCUGGGAAUGGCAAUGGAUACUGGCAAGCUAGAGUGUGUCAGAGGAUGGUGGAAUUCCCGGUGUAGCGGUGAAAUGCGUAGAGAUCAGGAGGAACAUCAGUGGCGAAGGCGGCCAUCUGGGACAACACUGACGCUGAGGCACGAAAGCGUGGGGAGCAAACAGGAUUAGAUACCCCCGUAGUCCCUGUCUCUUAUAC